GUGCCGCCUCUCUCUUUUGUAAGCUACCCGUAUCUGCCAUGUGCUCUCCCUUUCCCAACCAGAGAACACCACCAACUCCUCCCCGCAGCACUGACAAAUGGCCCUCCCCUGCGACACAGACAAAACACCCGCCUCUGCUACGUCGACAAAUCGUAUCCCUUGCGACACUGACAUGACCAUAGCUAAAUUCUGGAUGGAAAAAUAGUGAUAUGUUUCUUCAUGUAGUUUUUUGAAGAAAAAUGAUUCAAAUCAGCUUUAGAGAGUGAUGCCAUCUCCAUCUCCAUCUCUGGAGAGGCAUCGUCCAGAUUUGAGAGGGAUUUCUCGUUCUACUUCGAUUGUUGGGAGGGAUUUCUCCAACCGUCGGGACGGAUUUCUCGAACCGUUGGGACAGAGACCAAGUGGUUAAUGUUAAAGUUGUGAUCUAAUGCAUGUGACUAUUUUCAAUUCUUGAUUCACUGCUCCUAAAUUUGAAACAAAAUUUGAAACUAUUGAAGGCUAAGGGUUUUCGCAUUCUGUUGAAUUUUAUGUAUAACAUAUAUGGCUCCAUUUCGGCUACAAGAUAACAAUGAUUAAUAGAAAAAUGAAAAGAUUUCAUUGUAUUGACAAUCUUACAGAGAAAAUGAGAAAAUUAUAAGGUCCAAUGUUGGAACGAAAGUUAAAUUUCUCAGGUUCAACGUUUCUUUUGGAUUUCAGCUAUUUCAUGUGAU
RNAcentral lists this unclassified non-coding RNA (707 nucleotides) under Hevea brasiliensis (rubber tree). The record is from RNAcentral. Lineage: Eukaryota; Viridiplantae; Streptophyta; Magnoliopsida; Malpighiales; Euphorbiaceae.